UCCCUCUUAGCUCAGUGGUAGAGCGUGUCACUCGUAUCUGUAGUGGCGAUGACAAGGUCAGUCGUUCAAUCCGGCUAGCGGGAA
Molecule: non-coding RNA, 84 nt
Organism: Desarmillaria ectypa
Lineage: Eukaryota; Fungi; Basidiomycota; Agaricomycetes; Agaricales; Physalacriaceae
Source: the annotation of a GenBank genome assembly